AUACUCUGGUUUCUCUUCAGAUCGAUUAAAUCUUUUGCUUUUUUCUAAAGAUUUACACGGAGAGAAACGACCAUGAGUUUGUUUUUUUUGUUUUUAAAAAAGGUUUUUUAUCUGACGUU
Bombina bombina (fire-bellied toad) is the source of this 119-nucleotide small nuclear RNA. RefSeq annotates it as U5 spliceosomal RNA. The transcript has a single exon. NCBI's taxonomy places the organism in Eukaryota, Metazoa, Chordata, Amphibia, Anura, Bombinatoridae. The record is from RefSeq and is a predicted model, not a curated record.